UACGAAGGGGGCUAGCGUUGCUCGGAAUCACUGGGCGUAAAGGGUGCGUAGGCGGGUCUUAAGUCAGGAGUGAAAUCCUGGAGCUCAACUCCAGAACUGCCUUUGAUACUGAGGAUCUUGAGUUCGGGAGAGGUGAGUGGAACUGCGAGUGUAGAGGUGAAAUUCGUAGAUAUUCGCAAGAACACCAGUGGCGAAGGCGGCUCACUGGCCCGAUACUGACGCUGAGGCACGAAAGCGUGGGGAGCAAACAGGG
Molecule: ribosomal RNA, 253 nt
Filed under: uncultured bacterium
Lineage: Bacteria
Description: partial 16S ribosomal RNA
Rfam family: Bacterial small subunit ribosomal RNA
Source: RNAcentral